CGCUUUAGCACCCCAACAAAACAUACCGACCCUGCCGCCUGCCCGCGAGGGCAGGACCAGGCACUUGGUCUUUUCAGGUUGAAGGCGACUCGGUGCCUAGUCUAUUCCUAACUUUUCGACUCGGCGCCGCCGCUAUGAAGGCCGGUGGGCCCCUGUUCCUAUUACCUCCUACACCCAUACCUCAAAGAAGAGCUGCGGCAGCUGUCGCUGGGCUUCUGAGUUUACGACCCAGACGUACGCCAGUCGCCGAGCCCCUUCUCCCUGGACUCUUUCGUGCUCUGUCUCAGACGGCCGCAGCCUUUAGUAGUGGCUGAUCCAGCCGCGUCAGGUGUAUGUCUCAGUUGGGGGUCCGGGGUCCUACCUGCUUUUCCAACCUGACUUGGACGACUACCAACCCUCUGCCUCGAUAGAUCGGACGAACCAACGCGACCACGUGUACCACGGCCUGCUGAACGACGACUCGUGCCCGAUAGACGACUCACGAGUAGGAGGAGUCUAUACUCGCUACUUUCAACUUCUUCGCUGUGUCGGCUCGGACGCCUUUUUACGUCUGGAUAUCUGACUUUGAGUUAUAGUGCGAACUUCGGACGUUCUACGUUCUUGAUACCACAACUCCCAGUGGCGGCGUUGUCGACGUGGUACGGAGUGGAGACCCACAAUAACGUAGAACUGAUCUUAACGUAAAAGUCAUACCAAGUCAAACUCUUAAAAGAUCACGCGCAACGGGUGAACAAGUAGAGCCAACAUGCUACCGAAACACAAGUAGUCAACGACGCAAGUAAUCAAUACAAACACUUGUCAAUUGACACAAAAACGUACAUCAGCUGAUCAGCUCCUGACGGAUCGUACACUACAGACAGUUCAGACACACAAGGACUAACAUUUUUGAGGAGGAUCAAACACAGGACCCAGUGAGCUACUACUCUCAAAAACGACAUACACAGUAGUCUACAGACAGACAGGUUUGACUUAGACAUAAGAGAAGGGGACAAGCCACAUACCACUUGUUUAUUUCAGUACCGUUUUACUUC
Molecule: ribosomal RNA, 1031 nt
Filed under: Triticum aestivum (bread wheat)
Lineage: Eukaryota; Viridiplantae; Streptophyta; Magnoliopsida; Poales; Poaceae
Description: partial small subunit ribosomal RNA
Source: RNAcentral